Molecule: non-coding RNA, 1833 nt
Organism: Delphinapterus leucas (beluga whale)
Lineage: Eukaryota; Metazoa; Chordata; Mammalia; Artiodactyla; Monodontidae
Source: RefSeq, a predicted model, not a curated record
CAGAGCCAGAAGACUCACAGGGCUGUACUUUGCACUGAAUUUCUAAAAGUCACUCCCGAGUUGGCCUGAAAUCAAGCACCAAGCAAAAGGUUAGGAAGCAGAGAAUGAAGUGACUUGCCCAAAUUUCCGCACAACCAGGAAUUCAAUCCCUGGCAGUCUGAUCCUGGAGCCUCUGCUACUAACCUAUUCUGUGGUGAUGAAGAGCCAUGGAGAUAGUGAGUAUAAAAAGGGAAGCAGCCACGCUGGACAAAGGACAAGAGAGGCAGCCUGUCCUUGACACCAUUCAAGGAAACUGUACCCCAGGGGUCUUGUGAGUAUCGCUGAGAAGAGGGGGUGAGGAAAGGAACUGCAUAAACAUUUGCUUCUGCUUGAAUGCUCACGUGCCAGCACCCCUCCACCAAUUAGGAGAGCCGUCUUGAAGGAUGAAGAAUGCUGCCUUGCCUUCUGAAAAGAAGACCGCAGGACAUGCGUUAAUGAGAGGAGGGGGAGUCACAGCUGACAGAAAAAUAAAGCUCUCAGCAGGAGCCCUGCGCCCCCGAGCCAGGCCUGAACUUGUUGACUGAGCAGCAAGACCCCUGCCGUUGGGCUCCCCCAACUCCGUAGCUGUUUCUUGCUGCAUCUUGGAAGACCGCUCUCUCCCCCUGUGACUGGCCUUAUAUGGGACAAUUAAUGAGCAGUGUAGUGACAGCAGACACCUCUCCAUAUUGUUCAGAGCUUGGGCUUGUAACCAGACAAUUCGCCACUGCCCUCCGGGUUCCAUUGAGAAGUGCCUUCUCAGCAGUUUGUAGAAGUAGGUUGUAAAAGCAAAGGGUACAGCGUUCACUGCAUCACAUCUUUCAUUUAUUUAGUCAUCUGCUUUGGUGAGAAGCAUAGAUUUAGAAGGGAGGGCUGUCUUGAUCUCAGAUGGAAUCCCUCCUUAGUCAGUAUUAGGACGCUCAUUAAAUUACUUUGGACAAGAGGGACUGGAUUCUGUUACCCACUAAUUCAGUGGUACAAAAGGAAAUCCCAUAAAGUAGUUUUUGAAGGGCUUUCUUCUACUUAACCUGUUUUGAUUCCAAGAAGAAGGUAUUAUUAUUCUCUUUCUAAAGAUGAGGAAACUGAGGCUCAGCGAUGUUUAUGUAAGGGCUGUACCCAGGGCCACUCGGGGUUGAAAUGGAAGAGGCACUACGGUUGACUUGCUUAUAAUCCUGGGCUCUUUCCUCAGCACCACGCUGAGUUGCCUGUUGCUCAAAGUUUGCUAAAGCCCAUAACUCCUCAAGGCUUAAAAGGCCUAUUGUCACGAGGCCCUGGGAGAUCAUCCAGGAAGAUCAGUCACUCACUAGGCGUUUCUUUUUUGAUUAUGUAAGUGCUCAGUACGCUGCUAGGCACAUGGAGAAAGGUUGGGUUUUAGGUCUCUAAUGAGUUUUCAGCCUCAUUGGAAGAUGAAUAUGUAAACAGAAUAUUUAGAGAACAAUUAAGUUCUUAAUUACAGCUAAAUAGUAAGCGUAGAGUUGCUCAGAAAAGGGAAGGAGACAGCGCAGGCUGAAAUUCUUCGGGAAUGGAGAGGGUGGUAUGUGAGUGGAUAUGGAGGGGUGGGUGGGUAUGGAAGAUGGAUGAGACACAGGAAGGCAAGAAAAGGGUUUUCUACCAACGGAAACACAGAAUUAGAACAGGAAAGGGAAGGUUCUGAGCCAGCCUAGAAGUUGGGGGUCAUGAUGUAUUGGUAGAGGGAGUGAGGUAUGUGUGUGUGUAGAUAUACAUUUCUUUGAUCUCUCUUGCUCUGCUUGGUUUUUUUCCUCUCACCAGAAAGCAUAAUUUAAAGGGAGACUGAGAAAGAAAAAAGCCACUUUUUCU